UAGACCAACUACACUCACAGACACUGCAGAAACAUUUGCUUUUGUAUUUGCUGACUGCUUUGCAUGGGACCCCUACAGUCCAGCCCAGCGGCUGAGAAUUUAUAAGCCAGGCCUUUGCAAUGAGAGCUGAAAUUCAUCAGACAGCAGGAGAAGCAAGAUGAAGUCACAGACCCAGGUCCUCAUAUCCCUGCUGCUUUGGGUGUCUGGUGCCUGUGCAGACAUUGUGAUGACACAGUCUCCAUCCUCCCUGGCUGUGUCAGCAGGAGAGAAAGCCACCAUCCGCUGCAGAUCCAGUCAGAGUCUUUUACACAGUGUAAUCAGAGAGAACUUAUUGUCCUGGUACCAGCAGAAACCAGGGCAAUCCCCUAAGCUGCUGAUCUACUGGGCAUCCAAUCGAUACACUGGGGUCCCUGAUCGCUUCACAGGCAGUGGAUCUGGGACAGAUUUCACUCUCAGCAUCAGCAGUGUGCAGGCUGAAGACCUGGCCAUUUAUUACUGUCAGCAGGGUAUUAGUACUCCUCCCACAGUGCUUCAGCCUCAAACACAAACCUCCUUGAGAGUCUCACCAGCUGCCUGCAACACACACCGCCUUGGGCCUGCACACUUCCCUCUUCUGCCUGAUAGCAGGUGUGCCUGA
Molecule: non-coding RNA, 637 nt
Organism: Meriones unguiculatus (Mongolian gerbil)
Lineage: Eukaryota; Metazoa; Chordata; Mammalia; Rodentia; Muridae
Source: the annotation of a RefSeq genome assembly